Cygnus olor (mute swan) is the source of this 10735-nucleotide long non-coding RNA. RefSeq lists it as uncharacterized. The transcript is spliced from 2 exons. The record is from RefSeq and is a predicted model, not a curated record. NCBI's taxonomy places the organism in Eukaryota, Metazoa, Chordata, Aves, Anseriformes, Anatidae.
AGAGGCAAAGACGUUACUGCAGAGCCUCCUGAAGAAGCAUCCCACCACUGCGCCAGGCAUGCUGUCUCCAUAGCUAAUUACAGGUGUGCAUAAUUAAGCCCUGAGAGCAGGAGAGGUGGCUGCGGACAUGGCAGAAGCAGAAAAAGCCACCGCGUCUCACCCUGCUUUCUGCUCUGCUACUCUUCUGCUGACGCUGGUGUCCCCAGGUGUGAACCGAGAUGGGCUGGUGGAAGUGGUCCACAGCUACCUGAGUUCAGACCCUAUUUCAGGCCACUGUUAUUGUUCCUCCCAUUAAAAUAAACAUUAUCACCGUCAGUAAGCUCAUUUGGGGUGAAUUUGCCCACAGGUGUUCCCUCUGCACUAGCCAAGACCUCAUGGCUGGUCCAGGCACCAACGCAAAUCACACAACUUACACCAGUCAGACCUCAAAGCACUUGAAGGUAGUAAUACUGAAACUUGAAAAAGCAGCCACCCCCAAAAUCACAGGAAACACACAGAGCUCGAUCAAUGAUAGGAAGAGGGUGUAGCAAGGAAGACAAAGGCUUUACAGUGUCCUGAAAGCUGCAUUAUUGGAGUUCCCAUGGCAUCCUAUUUUAAAUAUUUAAGCAGAGGAGAUAAAAAAUGAUUAGUUAACGUAUCUUUUUAAACAAACAAUAAGGCAUAUGGCUUGUUUAGAUUAAACAUCAGACAAAUAUUUAUCCUGCUAACUUUUCAGAGACAGACAAGCCACAAAACCAAGGGAAAAGCGCUGCUUAAGCAUCCCAGUUAAUAUAAUCUAGCCUUUGUUUCUCAAAGGUUCUUCCACAGAGAUUUUUUUUUAUUUCAACUUAUUAAAUUUGCACAGUCAGCUUGCUCCCUGACUAACUCAAGGCUUGGAAACAAGGCAGGGAGAGCUCAGAAAACGGAGGAACGAAAGUCCAUUUUCACUCAGGAACCAAGCACUUAGCUGAGGUACACAGCCACAACGCUUUCCCUCCCAAGCCACGCAAUGCUACCAGCUUGGUUACAGUGUCUCCUUUUCCAAAAUACACAGCUUUCUCCUCAUGUAUCUUGUACGUUUAGUGUAUUUUUAGUUAACUAACAUUCUCAAGUAUUGUGGGUCUACUAUUUCGUAAGCGAAUUCCACUUUCUGUUCCAAAGCAACUUGAUGUGUGCAAAAAAUAAUCAAAGAAAUAAUUCAACAUCACGCAAGACCGCAGUCAUUUUUAACCCAAAGUGAGAAAAAAUCAAAAUCUGAAUAAGAAGAUAUUUUAUGUUUAUGCUUAUAAAUAUAUAAGCAUCUCAAAGCUAACAGCAAUACAGCAAAUCUUCCCAGUGCUUGAGAGAGACAUCCCUUCAACGAAGUGUUUUAUUUUGCUAGGAGUCUAAACAUGUUUAUAGUUAUUAAUCAGCCAGUCAGCUCUUAGGAUCAGAACUAAAGUACAAACAAGAUCAAAACUGCAUUUUAUGUACCCAUCGUGCCCAAGGUUUUUCUUAUCUUUGUAGCUUUUAAGCAAUCAUCUGAUAAUUUAUGUGUAAAGUCUAACGGGCAUGCAUGACACAACCGAGUUCUGUGAGAGCAGAGCUAAACCAAGGCAAACCCUCCUCUAAAAACCCGAUACACAAUAAUAACCCCAGCAUGUUUAACCCCCUUAACGGAUAUUGCAAGCUCAGGAAGGGUCAACUUCGUCUCCCGAGCCUUCCCUUUUUAAAACAAAAGCCACCCCACUUGGCAAGGGAAACGCCACUAGCACCGCUUGACUGCUGGGACCCUCCUGUCCCCAAGCAAGGGGACAGCGCUUCUCACCCGCCCGGCACUCGCACAAUGUCCCCGGCUAUAUUUAGUGGGAGGCAGGAGGGAGGAAGCCAGAUGCAAGGGAAGCGCGGCACAAUGGGGCUAGAUGACCCAGCAGGAUGUCCCUCUUCACAAAACCUGACGGCGCUCGCUGCUGGUGACACCGACAUCCUCACAGCAAGCUGCUGCAUACUGCAAGCGAAAGGGGAAAAACGCAUGAGUGGCACCUCCUGAUGCCUAUCAAGGGGUCUUCAGUAUCAACAAAACCCAGCCAACAGGCGGGGGACCUUGCCUGAAGGUCGCCAAGCAGGGACAGGACAACAGCUCCUUGCUUGAAGGUGUGAGGAGAGGGAAAAACGAGCAAGAGAAACCCCUGGGGAGUUUUUUUUGGAAAGGCCAGGCCAGCAGCUAAAGCUGCGGGGACCUGCCUGAGGUGGAACAAAGCGGUUUUCUCCCAAGGGCUGGAGAUGCCAAGGUGUGUGACGGUGGCCACCAAGGGACCGUCUGCGGCAGGCAGGCAGAGAGGCAGUGGGCUGGGGUGUGCAUGGGAAAAUGGCCCUGCAGGGGCUGGGGGUGAUGGGAAGGCAUUAAUGCAUCCUGGAAAGUGAAGGCCGGCUGCUGGACGCCUGCCAAGCACCAGAGAGCCUGAUGGAGGUUUUCGGAAGCAACAAAACUGCUGUUUCGAGAAGAACGAUGUGGUCUCUCAGAAAGAAAAAAAAAAAGCCGGCUUACUAUCACUGCAAUAUGCUACUGCCCUCACCCCUUCAACUUGUGCCAGUGAUGCUGAGGCUUUAGGUUUCCAACCCAAACAGCAUCAGCUUUUUCCAUCUUACAGCCCUGGGUGACUCCAUGGAAGAGUCUUCUUCACAAGUCUCUGGCAAAAUCAAUUUUGCUCAUACCUGAGUGCAGCAGCUUCUGACUUCUGCUCCCAUGAGGUCAGCACAGAGCAGACAACUGGGCCGAGGGCAAGGGGACAAGUCACCUCAGCCACCACUGGUGCUGCCCACCCUGGCUUCAGACAGAUGCAGUACAGCUGGAGCCUGAAAUGCUGCAGGGAACCCAACGGCCAGUGCACACCCAUGAGCGUAAGAGACACCCACCAGCUCCUUCCAGUGCUUCAUUUAAAGGUCAUGAUGGACAACUACCACACCACCAGCCCCAUGUCCCACACACUGCUUCCUGACCAGCACUCAGAGGAUGUGUCUGGUUUUUGGGAUGAAAACCAGCUUCAGUGUGGGGCACAAACAAAUGGCCCUUAUGGCGUCCCCUUUUCUCACCAACAAACAGAUCCUAUGAGGAUGCAAUACAGUGGGACUCAGCUCCGGGGCUUAUCCAAAACCUAGCACAAAAUACACAAAUGAUACGGUGUUGUACAAUGAACAUUUCCAUGCCGCAUGUGAAAAAAAAAAAACAACAACAACAAAUACGACCAAAACACCCAACCACACGCUUUGGGUCACGAGUGUUUUCCCACACCCGUCCCUUCCCUCGACGGACAGGGGCCGGUGCCCCAUCUCUCCCUCCAGCCUGGAUGGAGGGAGUCACCAGGCAGCAGGACCACUAUCUGACAGAAAGCCCGGAAUGACCAAGCCCUUUCCCAGAAAGCAGCCUGACACAUCCUCGCUUUCAUUCCUGGCAGCCUGUGGUGAUGAUGAUGGACAGCGCGGUUUGGGUGUCUGUGAGCAAGACAGUUGUCAUGCCCACCCUGAAUGGGGCAUUGUCCUCUGUAACGUCAGGCCAGACUUCCCCAGCCCGAGCCUCCUCACUGCUGCAGUGUCAGAGACCGGAUUAACUCCUGCGAGCCUGUCCUGGAUGGAAAUGUUUAAUACCUCGGUCAGAAGCAGUGCCCACACCUCUGCUGGCACAACUGUGCCUGAGCAAAGCUCCAUCUGCCUUUCGCAUUUCGCUUGUGCAUUUGCAUGGCAGCUUCCGCAGGGUUUUUAAAACAAGAAAGGUUGUUUAUCAUAAACAAAGGAUAAAAGCAGAGAGGUAUAAAAUACAAAACGCCUGCAGCAAUCCCGUCCCCUCUGAGUGAAGCACGAUACACCCUGGGAACUCCAGAGAACCACUUGGAGGUGUUCAUGGUCCCACCGCCCUGAGUAUCCCUAUAGCACCACUUGAACCCCAAGGCACCGCUCUCAGCAGGAAGCUGCCACACACAAACCAGGGCCCCGAGUCCCCCGUUAUCUCCCUGUGAGAGGAAAACCAGAAAGCUUCAGGAAAUGGGGCCACCCAGACUCGAUUUCACCUUGGCACCACCAAGAGAUUCAGGGUCCCAUCUUAAUUCAAAGCAGCAGCACCACAGCCACGAUAUGACCUCUCCACUCCAGAGCAUCAGAACAUAAAUCACCAAAAAAGCUGCAGCAGCAGAAUAAAACUCAUCCAGCACAUGCUGCUUUGGGUGGUGGGGACUUCCUCAAGCUUUAGCACCUGAACCUCAGACACAGGGGACUGAGCCACCAAGCACUUUUCUCUGGAUGGUGCUGGGUGGAGAAAAAAGCAAUCAAGAGGCCAGCUUAGGUCCCAUCUUGUGGAGAUGAUGCCUCCAGGCCAGGUAGAAAGCAGGAUGCUCGGUGCUGGGAGCAGGGAUGGGAUAGAAAAAGGCAGCGUUAAAUGUCACUGCUUGCCCCAGCAUUAAAGCCACAUUGCUGGCACCCACAGGGUUGUAAAACCCAUGUCCUGUCCCUGCUGGGUAGGAAAAAAAAUAAUAGAAAAAACAGAGAAGAAAUAAUAAUAAAAACAAAUAAAAAGAGGAAGAAGCACAGCAGAAUCCCUCUGAAGCAAGGAGGGUCAACACAAGCCAGCCCUCCCCUUGUGCAUGAGGCUGCGUGGCUCCAGGCAGGGGCAUUCUCAAACAGCAUCCUCACUCCCACCUACCCCCCCCCCCCCUCCAUUUCCCUCCUCUCUCUCGCCAGCUUUAACUCAUUAAGCUAAUGGAAGCCAGUCUCUUCCCCCACAGGUCACCAUGGCAAUGUUUCCAAAAGAAAAGCAAAAAAAAAAAAAAAAAAAGAAAAAAGAAAAAAGAAAAAUCCCCAGCAUCACACCAUUCUUCCUGGGAAACCCUCGCGGCUCUCCAAGGCUUGCCACCCCCCCGGGGAUGCACUUUGAGAAGGGGGGAAGAGAGCAGAGGCAUUCCUCCUGCAUGGAGCUGCAGGGCCAGGGCUCCCAAAGCCUUUGUGGGGAGGGAAGAAGAGAUUUUUGUCUUCAUCCUCGGACAGAUUGGCUCCUGGACUCUGUGAACGCAAGGGCUUUGUGAGCCUCCCAGGGAGAAAGGGAGUGCUGCAGUGGGGCCUUGUCUGGAGAUUCUGAAUGUGGCACCGUCAUUUGGAGGUGGGAAGGAGAUUCCUUCCUACCCUGCAGCACCAAUCCUGGAAGAACACCAUCUCCAGAGCCAAAAAGUCCUGGUUGUGACCUGCUUCCUUUCAGCCUGAGGGCAGGGAGUGGGAAGUCCCUCCACAACCGGGUGGAAAAGGGAUGGCUGCAUGUGGCAGCCCGUGAGGGUGGGUCUCCCGCACAUUUUUGUCCAGCUGCCCGUGGAAUUGGCGCAGCAGGUCCUCCCAGCCCUGGAGUCUCACCCCUAUCUCAUGGUGCCAGCAGGACCAACAGCGCUUUCCUGAAAACAGGGCGAAAGAAGGGAAAAGCAAAGGGUUUGCUGGUGACAACUGGGAAGCUCCUUCCCCUCUGCUCCCUCUCCUAAGAAAAACGCUGCUGCUCCAUGGCUGCUAAUGCCUUCCAGAUGGAGCACCACUGUCGCAAAGCAUGGAAAGCUCUCCAGGGUUCGCGUGGUACACAUGCGGAGACGAAAGGACGUACACGCUGCCCUUGUGGGGAAGAGUAACGCGGGAAGGAAGCAAAGGUCAUGCCUUUGUUGUAAAAGCAAAGGGAAAGAGUGGAGAAAACCCAAACCAGCGCCCACAUGCGUGCACACCCAUAUCCUAAGUGAUCCCACAGAGGUGCUACAGUCAGAUUUCUUCUGCUCUGCCUACAUGGGAAGCAUCGGGUGGAGAUUUCAGCUUCCAAACAUUGGCACAUAUGUGCGAGCUGGCAGGAGGCCUCUGGCACUGCAACAGCCCAUGGUAACAGCACCGAAGGCCCAGAGCUAUCCUCUGCUGCCCCAAACUAGACCACCUCUGGACAUCUGCUGGAGGAUGUCCUGUGGACAUCGUAUGCCUAAACAUGUGGCAGCUUUUCACAGGAAAACUCAUUUAAGCAGCUCUGGAAAGCAAGACAUUAUGGCUGACACAGGUCCCCAUGGCAGAGCCAAUGGAAGGGGACAAGGGAGGAGAAUCACUACUCGUGGAUCUGAAGGACUGAGGAGUUUCUGAGCUUCACCUGUCUUUGGUGCACCCCGGUGAUCUAACAGGGAUCCCUUCUGAGCAGGAACCAAAGCUCUUCCCUUUACAGACCCUGCUCGGGACCAACCGUGGAAACAACCGAUGGCUGGAGUAACCUUAACUCUCCCACCAUCACCACAGGGGACAACGCUGCCAGCCUCAGGGACUCAGUGGCAUCUAAGCUUGCUCACCUAAAUCCUUCUGCGCUCCUGGACAACCCCUCCUGCAUUUCUGCUCUUUAUUUUGGCAUCCUCAGAAGCCUGAGGAGCAUGAUUGGCUGCAUGUUAGAGGCAACAAGGUUGCCUGUCUGAACGUAACCCAAAUAGGUGAUGACACAAGUUGUUUUGCAGUUGGGUAGGUCUGAACCCAAAAUAACUCACUGUCACCAAUUUUAAGUAAAGACUUACAAAGCCAGGAGGGAAGCAGCCCUAAGUCAUAACCAAUUUUAGCUUGCAGAGUAAAUGAUCCUCAGAAGCUGGUCCCAAUGAAGGGAUACGGGGAAAUAUAAGUGGCUUUUUUAAUAGAAACUGAAUUUUGUGCUAAAAAUACAGAAAAGUGUUAUAAUUACUGUCAGAUAAAUGUUAUAAGCCAAACACUUAAAAGGAAGUAUUGACAAAGUGUUUUCCACUAAAACUACUACUUUAAAAAGAAUUCCUUCAAUACUGAAGAAGUUGAUCUGUCAGUGAUUAAAGGAAAAUCUAGAACCAGCAAACUUCAGUCUUCUUUUCUUUAGGGGAUUAAAUAAUUAAAUUGUCCUUAGCUGUAAAUAGGCUCAUUUCCAAGAGACAAAAAAAUGCAUGUACUUCUACUGGAGAAAACCAAACAACCACAUACAUGUUAUUUUUGCAACUGCCCAUUUUGCUCGCUGUGCUUGGUUUCCACUUCCGAGCGUGCAUGCCUGGCCACUGUUCGCACUUCCAUUGGUAAACCACUGACACACUGGGCCUUGAAGAAGAGCACAAGGACCUAGAAAUAGGACUCCUGGGCUCUUGUAGCCCUUCCAUGAGCAGUUUAGCCAAAGGUCUGCUGUUGAGUUUAACCCCCUGCCAUAGUACGUUGGAGCCAACUUUACAAGCUGCCUAGUGUUUCUGGAGGGAUGGGGAUGAAGAUGGGAAUUCCUCUGCAACAAAAAUCCCAUCUCUGAAGCCCUGAAAAUGGCUGCUUUUUGCCCAAUUACCCUUGAAAAGGGUAAUUAAGAAAAAAAGCCACUGCUGUGGGCAGAAAGCACAGCACCCUGCUGAUCACUUUGCCAAUGCUGUUUGGAUGAUGUAGCACUGCUCAGCAUGUGCCAGGGUGCUCUGCACUGCUGGCCACAUCUGGAACCCAUGGUUAGGAGCAUCCUUGCAUGCCACAGGGACAGCGGGAAACCCCAGGGAAGCUCAGAUAUGUGUCCUGAUUCCUUCCUGCACGCUGCUAAAUAUGCUUUAAUGCAAGCAUCAGACCCCCUGAGGCCUGCACAACCCCCUGAAGGUACUUGUGAAAAGCAAUGCUGUGGACGAGGAUGCCCAUUAAAGCUCGCCAGCGGUGGGGAUCACAUCCUGAUGACUUCAAGGGCAGACGUGUAGCUACUUGGGAGCCAGACCUGGAAUUGCCACCUUAAUCAGCCUGGCUGCUAGGGGAAAAGAGCCCCAAAUACAAAAAAAUAAUUCAUCGCUUUUCAACUUUCUACUGAGGCAGCGAUACCCAGCAGGAUGGCGGAGAAAGGGAGUGACAGCGACAGCCUCCGUGUCCAAAUUUAAUCUGUUAUUGCGUGCCUGUCUGAAUCCUCACACCCCUCCCAAGCAGCGCCGGUGCCGCUGUGCUCCGGGGACAAGAUGCAAGCCAGCCGAGGAGUUCCUAACAAAACGUGAAAAGCCAGGGGGAAAAACUACAACAGAAGUAAAGCCGACCCUCUUCCCACCCCCAAAGCUACAUGGAAAACCGCACCCCAAAUCUGGAUGUUUUGGCACUCUUCCUCGCGGCUUGGCCCCGCUCCCAGGGAUAAGAUAAUCAAAGCACUGGGUCGUGUUGCUCCAUCCCUUGCUAUUAGCAGCUGGAUGCAGAUUUCCUAUUUUGGGUCGGCGAGACAAUCCGGCGGCAGGGGCUCUCAUAGCUCAUUGCAUCACACUUUUAAAAAUAAAAAUAAUAAUAAAAAAUAAUGGGACUUUACACAGUGGAUGAAUAGAUACCUAAGAAAUAGUUAACCAGUUGUCAGCAUCCAACUCAUCCAUACUGCUAGCUAUCUUGAAUGAUGGUUUCUGACCUGGUAUCAACAUGUCUCACAGCCUCCAUACGCUCAGAAGCAAUAUCCAUGGCUGAGAGGCAGGAUGGGCUUGGGAUUUACAACUAUAACCAAACCGAGGAGGAGGACCAGCAGGAAGCACCAAAGCAGUUAACAAGCCGUUUGCAGUGGCGUGAGCUCCCCCGGCCAAAUGGGGAAUGCCAUGAGCAGAGGCUGCAACAAGUGCUCAGGAUCAGAUGUCUCGUGAGCAAUCCCCGGAAAAAGCCCUGCAAGCUCUGCAGCCGGGGCUGGGGAGCUGGUGGAGGAGAGGUGGCUGUGGUGGAAACCCGGGUUAUUUCUGGGCAGAGGCGAAGCCCUGCAGCAGGCUAGAGGCAGAUAAGCAUCGCGCCUUGUGCCCCUGGCAGCUGCCUCGCUCCCCACAUCCCCUUCCUCCUAUUUCCCCAUCGCUGUCCAAUCCGGCAUGCAACAUUAAUUAUUUUUCCUCUCCCCCAACACACACGUGGGAGAAGCAGCCUUUACGAACCAGCUUUAACUGUUGUUUUUUUUUUGUUGGGGGGGGAAAGGACACAGAGGAAAAACCAGGAGCCAGCAAAGUGCCGCUUCCCCCCUCCCUAAGUACAAAACCCCACUGUGCACGUUUGCCUCCUCUGAGGGUUUUAUUGCUUCCCCCGUCCCACAGCACAGCCUGGCUGGCUUUAAAAGCCUCCCGACAGAUCCUGGGAUGCACCAGGCACCAAAAAGCAGUUUGCAAGGGGAAAAAAAAACAGCUCCAGAGGCCAGCCCUGGGCUUAAGAGAGAGGUUCCCGAAGUGGGAACAUCGUGUGCAUGUGGAUGUUGGACAGCAGACAGAAAGAGGAGGGCGUGCGCCUCUUUGCAGGGAGUGUCAGUUGUCGGGGGGGGGGGGGGGGGGGGGGGGGGGGGGGCGGGAAAAGGAAAAGAAAGGAAAAAAAGGAAUCCCAGACUUCAGGCUCAAGAGGGCUGGCUAGAAGAGGCAGCAGCUGAAAGAAAUGCUCUGCUAUUAUUACUGCAUGGAAAUUACAGCCGCCAGAAAGAAUCUGGGCAGAGCUGUUGCUGAGUGUAACUUAAAAAAGACAGAAAGCCUCGGGGCUGGGAUGUCCAACGCACCAGGAAGCCAGCGAGGUGGUGGGACUCAUCCUGCUCCUGCAGUGCAUUCCUCAUUGCCAUCUAAAUAGCAACGGCCAAGGACGAAAACGAAACAAAAAAGGGUUGAAAAGCAAAGGAUGCUCCCAGGUUUUGGGAGAAAUGUGUUUUGGGACAUAUCAGUUUGGCCUCAGAAGGAAGGAGAUGUUUGGACCAGUUCCUGGAAAGGAAGGAGUUUAACUUUUUUUCUUUCUCUCUCUCUCUCUUUUUUUUUUUUUUUUUAAAAGUUUAAAACAUACAAAGGGUAAAUGCUCUAAAUACAGCUCUGGGUAUGAGGCGGGGGGAGCAGGCAGCUGCCGUGCAAAACCCGCUGCUGCUUACAGCAUGAGCAGCUGGGCAAAAGGGCUCUGGCAUGCUGCUUGAUGGGCAAGGAGAGCAAAUUGCAGAGAAAUCCUUCCAGGAAGGUAACUCCAGCUACAGGCAAGACAAGGACAUUGGUUAGGUGGGUCCAGCUCUGCAUGUUUCCUACACCUAUAUCCUCAAAGCUAGAAGGGGUUCUGUCCACCUGAAUAACCCCACCAGCACCCUUUGGUGAGGAGUGGUUUUUGGCCUUCCUGCUCCUAAAUAUGUUAAAAAAAAAUCUUUUUAAAAGAAAUCUUUUCUCAGCAAGUAACUGGUCUUUCAGGCAUAAGGGAACACCACUGCGCAGGACGGAUGCUCCCCUCAACCCCAUGGGGGAAAAGCACAGCAUCGGGACCAAUUUUCAUUUGUGGAAAGGAAAAGACUCAAACCUCCUCCUUCCCAUGACAUACAGAGCACCAAGGACCUUCGGCUGGAAGUUUCAAUCCAACAGCAGCUGCGUUUCUUAAGAGCAAACGACAUUCACUUACUAAUGAAAACAGGAUUUAGGCUACGCUGAGUAACUUUUUCCAUGAAAACCAUACAUCCUUCCACCACCAGGCAGCACAGAAUGUAACGAAGGCAUUUUCCAAAGGAAAGAAAACAAGGAGAAAGCCUCGUCCCUUUGUCACGGUAACCCUGCCUUCUGCUUUUGUACUGCAAUAGCAUCUAGGGGCUCCAGUUUCUCUGGGGACUCUUCUGGUCUCCAAGUUGCAUAUCCUUAUUUUCUAAAUGUCCCUUUUUUCCUCUAGGCACCUAGCACCCUGUGCAGGUUACCGAAUUUCUCUUUGCUUGCCCAGCUCUUCAGAGCGUGAGGUCUCAGAGGCUCAUUGCAAACACAUCUCACAGUCCUCAGUUUACAUUUUUGGGGACUGCUUCCAUGAGAGCAAUAGUAAAAGCUGCAAU